AAAAAGGUGUCUCUAGACACCACAUCGACUUGGUGAGAGAUAUGU
Non-coding RNA from Amborella trichopoda, 45 nucleotides. Lineage: Eukaryota; Viridiplantae; Streptophyta; Magnoliopsida; Amborellales; Amborellaceae. The record is from Rfam.